UAUUAUGUAAACACAAACUUUUAUUCUAAAGUCUAAUCACGAUUAAUCGUUUGACAGCCCUCAUUUAUAAUGAAACAAACACUUUACACUUAUUUUUUUUGUCCACUAAACUCAUUUUAGAGUUGUAAGCACACGCCUUUAGAUCAAAAGGUCAAGGUCAAGAGAAACAUUGAACUAAGGUGAGCCUCAGCAUUUGAUGAGUAAAACCUAACAAAUAUUUAAUCUUCUUGUUGAUCAGCUGUAGAUCUCGACACUGUCAUGUGCAUAAAAUAUGUCAAACGUAAUUGUUCACAUGUUGCAUCCUCGUAAAAAUAAUGAAUUUCUUGGUUACGUCAUUUCAUUUUUGUCUGGCCGAAGGAAUUUGGAAUGUUGUGACAGGAAUGAUUCCAGUGCGUUCUUCUGUUAUCAGGGCGUGAUCAAAUAUAAACUCCCUUUACAACGACUCUUCCGUUAAACAUCAGUAACAAACAACUGGUUUGUUUUUUUCAAGGCAGAGGUCAAUUGAAUUAUUAUUGGUAACACAAAGACAAAGCGGGUCUUAUGGAUACAGGUGCAUGCGAAAAACAUUUCACAGAAUGAUGUGCUGAGUUUUCUUUUCAAUAUUGAGUAAAAUUACCCCUCUACACAUCCGAAUGAUUUACAUGAUUGACAGCGUCUGACGUGAUUGUGGGCAGGAAGUGAGAGUAACCUCAGUUUACAAAAAUUACGUAGAAAACCGUUCGACAACUUAUAUUAUUUUAUCUCAGUCAUGUUCAUCUUUAAUGUUGCCAGUUUGUUAUCAUGAAUAAAUCCUCUCCUGAUCAAGAAUAGGAUUGACUUCUUGAGAAUUACAGGAGUCUUUGCCUUAUUUAAACUGACUUCAUAAUUAAAAUUGUAUUAAACAUUUCGUAUGCGUAUUGCAUACUUGGGAAGCACCAGCUAGGUUAAAGCAAAUGGCCUAAACAGUGACGUUAGCUCUGAAAUCAGAGGAAAGAUCUGGUGCUUGAAUCACUUUCCAUCUUUUCAUGGAACCCAGAAAAGGGAAGUGGUAAAAUGUGUUGAAUGUGGUUUACAUUUCUCUGUACAUAUAAUACCUCAUGGCAUUUUUGUUUUCUUUGAAAGUAAAACACAUCACUGGUCAAAAGUUCAAGGUCACUCACUCUUUAUUUAAUAUUCUUUCUCGUGUUUUGAAGUAAGAGUAAACUCAUUAAAAUGAUGUGAAAGACACAAAUGUGAAAGAAAAUCAAACAAAUUGAAACUCUGUUGUAUUUUAGCACUAUACUGACCCUUACUCCUGGCAUUUUCUCAAAGCAACUUCUUGAGGCGUAAAUAAAUGUUGAGUUUCGAAAGAAAUGAAUGAGACCACUAAUAUGACUAAAAUUCAGACAUAUGCAGUCAUGUAGACGAGAUGCUUUUGUUUGUCAAAAUCAGCUUUUUAGACAGACUACAUUUACAUUUAAAAGACUUACUUUUGUAGACAAAGCUCUCAUUCUCAUGAAUGAAAACUGAACUGAAAUCUGAACACAAAGUUUUUAUGGACAAAACCAGCAUGACUUGUGAUGCUGAGGGGUCAGGAUGAUGGAGUUAUGAUGACCAUAUUUUAAUUUGCCAACGUUUUUCGGCACACAGGCUAAAAGAUUCCAAAUUGUAUCCUCCAUUCUGUAUUGAUACUGACCCUUCAACAUCACACGUGUUGCUUUGUCCAUAAAUAGUGUUGCUUUUUUUUUUCCAUGCACCAGAACAACUUCACAAUACAUCUGGUGACUGUUCCAAAGAAUCUCAAAUAUUAGAGAGCUGUGAUUUUAAAAGCCGCAUUGUUGUGAUGAUUUUACUAUUAAUAAUAAGGAAUGAAUAGGUGUGUCCAAACAUGGGACUUACAGAAUCGUGUAUUCCAAGAGUGUGACUAAACAACUUCGGAAAAGAAUAAAAUGCAUUUUGAUGCAUAUUUGGGUUUCUGGACAUUAGCGAUUAAAGACCAUUUGAACAGCCCAUCAGUCUUAUCAGUCACUUUUAUGCAAAGUGACUUAAAGAAUAAUAAUGAAAGAAUUGAAAAUGUACGUAAUGUUGUGUCAUUAUGUAAUGUGUUCCAUUUGUGUUGUGUUGUGUUGUCAUGUUAUGUGCUAUAGGCCACAUCACACUGCAUCUGCUCUGCGUUCCGCAGGAUAUUCCCUGCUGUAGGGUGUCAGCCAUUCUCUUUUAGACGUGUAAGGAAAUCUCUCAUUAACCAUGAGACCAUUUAUAGAAGAUGACUUAGAGGCCAUAGAAAACAUGCCUACACGUUUGUUUCACCACAGGAACUCGCAUCACGUCGCAAUAACGCAAUAUACUCUAUCAAUUGAGUUACAGAAACACCAACGUUUGUGUCUGAUGACCCAACCAAAUGCAACUUGAAUUUACGUGUAACGCUUAGAAGUCCCUUAAAAGUAAAUCGGGGGCUUCACGAGAUUUGAUCAGACAUCACAUAUGAUGGACAUAGUGAUUCUUGCAGACAAGCAUCCGACACUUCAUUUCACCUAUGAUCAAUUGAAAGUCUACGACUGCGUCACGUCAAUGAAUAAAACAUCCCAGUAUGAUAAAUCAGACUUAUCAGAGCAAAGAUCCUCCACAAGACGAUAGCAAAGAUUUUCUUUUUUACGCAUUAAGAUUGUGAGAUAACGUCAAUCCUGUGACUUAAAUUUCCUUUUUGUGACUAAGCAGUUACAGGGGUAUAAAAGAGAGAUGGCUGAAAGAAUGUGUAUAAUACGUUGAAGAGUUUGCUUUUCACUGACAGACAAAUACUGUGAAUCUUCUCCAUGGAGCCCAAAACAGGUAUGGCUGUUAUUAUUAUCUAACAUUAUUUUGUCGAUUCCGGUUAUUUCCAGAAUGAACUAGAUACUUAGGUUCCUGCUUUAUUGUCUGUGCUCAGAAUGACUUUAUCUUUUCUUGUUUUAGGACUUCUCAGCUUGUGGGUUUUGAUCAUGUUGCUGGCCGUGCCAUGCAGACCAACACAUUGCAACGUUACGAAAAGAAUAUUGUUUACCAAAUGCACGAUGGAAAACCUACGAUGUGUUUAUCUCAAUACCAAUGCAGAGAAUAUCAAAUGUUGGCCUCAUCCAAUUCCAGAACUUGACUUGAAAACGCCCGUUUCAACUGAAGACAAAAUCCAGAAAGGUGUCUGCGGACUUCGUUUUAUUCAGGAUGCGCUUGGUUUGAUAUAUGCCCACCAGAGAGACAUACACAGUAUAAACAAUGACAUAUUCCAUAAAAUCAACACGAUGGAGCAAGAGUUGUUCCGUAGCGAGAAAUGUGUUGAGGGAGGUUUGAAAGAACAAUGCAGAAAUGAAACAAAGCCUGACUUCAAUCAUGAUGACAUGUACAGCCGUCUGCAAUGGGGCCGCACUAUUAUAGAGUCUUCCAUCGGUUUUAUGGAGCAGUUGGAGGACUUGGUGAAACACGGACAGAAGCUGAACUUUACAUUAGGAUCACUCCUCAAACACCCUCCUUGUAGAUGCAAGUGCAUUAUGAAGCACAAAUAUGAUCAACUUUGUUCACAAGACAGACAUUAACAUCUUUCUUAUUCCUGUAUUUCUCCACCGAUAGCCGAUUAUUCAGAGUGAUAUUUGCCGAUACCAAUUCUAAAGAUUAAAUGAACAUUCCUUAACUUAUUCAUUCACAUGAUGACUAUUAAUAUUGAACAUCGAAUUGGUGAUGUUUCUUAACGUUUUCUAAAUACAGAGCACAAACAGGAUACAUCGGCCCUGAUCAUCGGCUGUUUUUAAACUUUCGUCCGAUAGCCGUUAGUGUGAAAAAUUGCUUUUAUCGGCCGAUAUAUCGGUGCAUGUCAACUUGCGUAUAAUGCAUAGUUUUUAUAACCUCCUUAGUUGAGAGAAUAUGUGGAUUAUUCAGAUUUAUUUGUAAAUAUAUUUUUUACAGCAUAGGACUACUAUUUUUGUUUAUGAAAAACAUUUGGUUACUUAUCAUGUUUUCUUAUGUUGUCUUUCAGAACCGUAUUUUUAUACAUUGUAUUGUUUAUUUUAUUUAUAGCAACAAUAUUGCCAUUAUUUAAUAAGUUAUUUUGUUAGUAAAAUACACUUGUGUUGCUUAUUCAUAAUGGGUUUCAAGUGUAUACGUUGCAGUUUUUUUAUUUGUAUCGUGACUCAUUUUGAUAAUAAAGCAAAUUUGGUUAUAAAAUGCAAUUGUGUUACUUAUGUUUUCUAUUAUUUUCUAGUAGAACAACAGAAUUUAAGUUAAAAUUCAUUAUUCAGAGGACGCUGAUCGUAUAAAGCAGGGGAAGCAGGUGGUCUGCUCAGUCAGCAAUGUAAUAGUCUCAUGUGACUGUAAUUAAUCAAACUGUCAUACGUGACCGGGAAAAACGUGUUAAUUUUCUAAUUUCAAUGCAGAUGUUUUUUUUCUUUUGAAAUAACCAGGAUGAUUGAUUGUUUAAUAGUGGCCAUGUAUCCCCGAGUGAGUCUUCUACUCAGCCCAUUGGCAGACAGACAAAUAUGAGAAAUCGACAGCACAGUGAAACUUUUGAUGGAACAAUAUGCAUAACUGAAAGUUAUUUUCUCUGAAAGAUGUUUAGCAGACGUCUAUUCGCAGGAAAAGAAAUCAUUCCUAUAGUGAUGUCAAGUACAGUUACGUUCAGAUUUUUCUGAUGUAACUUCUUUUUUACUGAAGGGUUCCAAUUCUGAUGGGUUCCAAAACCAAUUCUGAUGUAAUGCAAGAUAAAUCAAGAUACAUUUCCUCAUUUUUGUGCUCACAUUUUAAGAUGUCCUACCAAAUACAGUUAUAUUCCUGUAAAUCUCUUAUUUCCCAGUGACACAGGCGCUUUCAUCGGACGCACGUACCUGGCCCAAUGAUAACUUCCAGUCUGUGUUUGGUUAUAAUAUAACAAUUAGUUUUAUAUUUAAUUUAUAAUCAUAUUUUAUUGUAUAUUAAUUGUAUUCAAUUAAAACUACUCAACAGUUGAUUGAUUCUUGGCGGAGGUCUACCGGAAAUUAAGUUUGGGCCACAUAACGUUUGUUGCUGCUAAAACCGUCUAUAUCAAUCGUAUUUAAAGGGAUGGUUCACCCAAAAAAUAAAAUUCUGUCAUCAUUUAUUUACCCCACCAAGUUGUCCAAACUUGUAUAAAGUUGACACAAAAAAAGAUAUUUGGAAGAAUGUUUGUAACCAAACAGUUCUAGGCUCUAUUGACUAUUAUAGCGGGGAAAAAUAAGCAUUCUUCCAAAUAUCUUCUUUUGUGAUCAACGGAGCAAAGAAAUGUAUACCCGUUUGGAACAACUUAAGGGUGAGUCAAAUUAAACUGUCCCUUCUUUAAGCAUCUAAUAAAAACGCAGUAUAAAUUGUUUAAUGUGAUGAAAAAACACAUUUAAUGCAGGAUAAGCCGUCUCAAGGGCAUAAUGUAUGAGCUUAUUUUCCAAUCAAAAAUCACAAUACAGCACUAAAAUUUAGAAGUAAACGGUGUAUUUAAAGAUUUAAAAGCUAAAGUGUGAGGCGUGUCAUUUUGUUAAAGCGCUUGUCCAGAUUUUUGUGGUGGGACUGCAGUUCUAGAUGUCCUUAUGUCACUCCUUCACAUUGUUCUGAUGUUUAAUAAUUCAUUUUAGUAUUGAUGCUAUACUUCUGAAACUUUUUGAUCAUCACAAAUUCAGCUUAACCUGUAUUAAACAGGGCUGUCGAAAUUAAUCGAUUGGCGUGGACGAUUCUGCAUGGAUGCAGUACUGUUAAACCCUGAACGUUCGUUUGAGUUUGAACAUGUUAAAACAUUCUCAGUUGUAAAGCUACUGAAAAUCACGUUGACUUUAUUAAAUUACAUAGAGCAGUUUACAUGCAGGUUCUAAAAGAGCUCACAUUUAAUACACUGACGGACAACAUUAUGAAACAGUCUGAGGUGAUGAGUGUGACAACACAAUGAUUCCUGCUGAAAUCCAAGCAAAAUAAAAUCUUGCAAAAUGACCCUACAAGUCCUGCUCUUAGAAUGACGGGUAGAAAUGUGUGGAAUCUUCAAAUCGUUCAUAUAUGAGGUAAAACAGAGAAACGCUUCUGUGGCAUAAACUGCAUUGUCCUUCAAGUCCUGUUGAUCGAUUUAUUGUUCGUUUCAGGUCAACAGGAGCACCGAGAAGACCUUCUCCUUCAUUACAUCAGCCAGUUUUCCCAUAACAGUCAGACAGGCUGCAGUUCCGGUGGACUCUCUCCGUAGCAGUACUUGGCCUGUGGGUUCCUUGAAGAGGUUCUGGAAACCUUCUGCAGCUCGGUUCAAAAAUCGCUCCAGAAGAGGUUGCUGAUGAGAAAGAAACAGGAGAGAUUGCUUUCUUAACGGGAAGUUUCCAAACAUGAUGGACUACUUCUUUCUAUUCCAGGUGAAGAAAAAAUGGUCUGUGGCCGAGGGGACAGAUGCAUAUUUCUAAAGAGGAUAAGUGUUUAAAAUCUAAUGCUGCUAAUCUUGCAUUUCAGGCUGCUUAAAUCAAGCACGUAGUUUUAUGUUUGCUUCAUUUAUUUUUUUCUCUUUCAGAUCUGUGAGUGGCAGGACCAGCGGUCUUCAGCCCCCACAAACCAGCCUGGAGCCUGCCAGACAAAGGCAGGGAACCUCGAGCUGUGACCCAGUGCGCGUCUUUCACACACACCCAAGCACAAAUAAACAUCGCACAAAUAAAAAAAACAUUAAAGCAUGCGUGUUGUUUGUUUUCAUUAAUGCAUAUUUGUCAUACAAAGAAGCUAUCACCUUGCAAAUAGAUUGCUUGUAAUUAUAUUGAUUAUUGUAGUUUUUAAUGUCUUACUUUUAAUUGUGUAUUUUAAUUUUGGUAAAUUAUCUUAGAAGUAGCCUUAAAUCUCAUCAGUUUUUUUCUUUUACACCAAAGCACCCGUUAACAAACAAUUAAAUGUUCAUAUAAUUAGGCUAGAAAAGAAAAUACUUUAUUAAUGUAAUAAAAAAUAAGAAAUUGCUUUCGAAUCAAUUUUUACAUUUGUUAUACUAAACGAAAAAAAAAAAUCUAUUUGUCAUUAUUCCUUUUCAGUUAUCAAAAGGGUAAAGCGUACACGGACCGUCACCUUAUUUCAAAACUUGCGUACACGAGCUGAGACUUGUCACUUGUCGUAGCAGAGCCGUUUCUUGCUAUAUGCGGACAAUGCGGCUGCAUAGGGCCCAGCAGCCACCAGGGGGCCCCCAAACUGCAAGUUCAGCCUCAUAUUUUAUUAUAUUUUGGAGAAUUAAAAGUACCUGUCUUUAUUUGCAUGUAUUGCAUGCAUUCAUUAUGCAUUCAUUUGCAAAGCAUGUAAGUGUUCAUGGGGUAAUCAGGUCAAAAUCACCUUUGGGCUGGGCUGUCAUUUGGUCCUUAAAAACUACAUAACUAGUUUUUUUAAUUUAUUUUUUAUUGAUUGUGCAAUAACAUGGAUGCUGGUCCAUUAUAUACUUAUUUAUUUAAGUAAGUUUAGUUAUUUAUUUUUUACUGUUUUGGAAUGGUGGGUUAAAGCUUUUUUAUGUUAUGCCACCUCAAAGUUUACAUUAAACAUUUUUCAAGAACACACUGUAUCUGUUGCAUUUAUUAAUGUACUCUAGCCUGCUUUCCUCUUAAAAUGUAACAGACUGCUGCAUCGUCACAGAAUAUAUGAAAAAGUUAGGAAUCUCUACCUCAGAGUUUGAAAAAAUAGGGGCCCCCAAAUAGUAUCUCGCAUAGGGCCCCCAAACAGCUAGAAACGGCCCUGUGUCGUAGUAACCGCUCACGUCCAUAUUGAUAAAUGCCAAGUUUUGCGUGGAAGCAAGCGUACGUAGAGUUUUAUGGUGUACGAUCGUUUGAUAUAUUGAGGGCCUGUACGUGCAGCUUUAGCAUCUAAAUACCUUUUGGAGUCAAUGUGUGUUAGGGCCACAACCUUUGUCAUGAUGACCAAAUGCAUUGACUGUUUUAUCUUGACACCCUAUGGUCCGACAUUUUACAUGGUAGUGCAUUCCUUUAAAGGUCCAAUUUAACUUUUUAGAGAAUCUAUUGACAGAAAUGAAAUAUAAUAAACGUAACUAUGUUUUCAGAGGUGAAUAAAGACCUUACAUAAUAAAGCGUUAUGUUUAUUUUACCUUAGAAUGAUCUAUUUCUAUUUACAUACACCGUGGGUCCCCUUACAUGGAAUUCGCCAUGUUGUUUCUACAGUGGCCCUAAACGGACAAACUGCUCUACAGAGGGCGUUUUCUAAAUACGUUAUAUCCUUCGACAAAGAAGCGAAAACAUGACGACAUCUUAGAGCCGUGUCAGCCACCGUAGUGCUUCGAAAGGGAGGGGUGGAGUGAGCCGUUGGUUGCAAUUCACAACCUCAUCGCUAGAUGCGGCUAAAUUUCACACGCUGGACCUUUACAUAACGGAUAAAUGAAGGUGCCAU
Triplophysa rosa is the source of this 8319-nucleotide long non-coding RNA. RefSeq lists it as uncharacterized. The transcript is spliced from 4 exons. The record is from RefSeq and is a predicted model, not a curated record. Lineage: Eukaryota; Metazoa; Chordata; Actinopteri; Cypriniformes; Nemacheilidae.